This 254-nucleotide ribosomal RNA is filed under the name uncultured bacterium. Its description in RNAcentral is "partial 16S ribosomal RNA". It matches the Rfam family "Bacterial small subunit ribosomal RNA", at positions 524 to 776 of the family's 1533-position model. The record is from RNAcentral.
UACGGGGGGAGCAAGCGUUGUUCGGAUUUACUGGGCGUAAAGGGCGCGUAGGCGGCCACCGCAAGUCAAUUGUGAAAUCUCCGGGCUUAACCCGGAAAGGUCAACUGAUACUGCGGGGCUAGAGUGCGGAAGGGGCAACUGGAAUUCUCGGUGUAGCGGUGAAAUGCGUAGAUAUCGAGAGGAACACCUGCGGCGAAGGCGGGUUGCUGGGCCGACACUGACGCUGAUGCGCGAAAGCUAGGGUAGCAAACGGG